Molecule: unclassified non-coding RNA, 371 nt
Filed under: fungal sp.
Lineage: Eukaryota; Fungi
Description: partial internal transcribed spacer region
Rfam family: Eukaryotic small subunit ribosomal RNA (bases 1-46)
Source: RNAcentral
AAGUCGUAACAAGGUUUCCGUAGGUGAACCUGCGGAAGGAUCAUUAACACGUAUCCACGUAUCAACCCCUUGUGCUUUUUACGUUUGACUAGCCUGUCUUGAACGUUGGUGUCUGAGUUGCUGCGAGAUUGAAUGGCUGGACCUUCGGGUGCAGUUCUCGCAGUGGCGUUGGGAGCAUCUUCGGAUGUUCGCACAGAUCCUUCGUUCUAUCGCUACAGGCUUUUUUUGUUAUCCAUUCUAACAUGUUUUUUAAACAUAAACCCUUUGUUAACAUCUUGCUAACUUAAUCUUGGACGUGCGUUUGCGAAAGCGAACCUAUUCCAUUAUUACGAAAUGCUUGACAACUCUUAGCAACGGAUAUCUUGGUUCUC